Molecule: long non-coding RNA, 5915 nt
Organism: Passer domesticus (house sparrow)
Lineage: Eukaryota; Metazoa; Chordata; Aves; Passeriformes; Passeridae
Exons: 8
Source: RefSeq, a predicted model, not a curated record
ACCCUGUAGAUGUAGGCCUUGGAUUUCAGCAGUCUUUCAAUAUAGUCUCUGCCUGCACAUUGCUGUAGCACUGCUUUCAAGAGCAAUAAAUUAAUGAAGAAAACUCAGCAGCUCUAAUGCACUCCAGCAUAUGCACUCAGGGUCAAACUGAGAAGAAUCUUAAAAUCUAAUGGAGUGCUAAGACUGAAAUGGAUGCUCCAGUGCAGUGGGCUAAGGUGUACUCAUUUGAUCCUGAAACUAUUAUUUCAUGAGCAGAGGAUGUGUGACUUUGUUCUGGUGACUGAAAGCUACUGAUAUUGAAGAUACUGCUGCAGGGAAGAAUGCAUUGAAUGUGGCUUCUACAAUCACCACUGAAUACCAUUGCCCAACUGAAUGGGCACACAGGAUAUGCUUCAGAUUUUGGAAAUGUCAAGCAGCUGAUUCAGGAAUUGACUGUUUCUAUCCAGACAGCCAACAACUACUGGUUUAUUUUGGAAGUGACCUCAUGCUUACCUCUAGCUCCAUACUGAUUACUGAGGUUACACCAAUGCUUUCUGGAAGUCUAGAGUCAGCAGACUUGGUUUUCAUGUGAUGUUUACAUACUCUUCUUAUCACCUCAGGACUGGAUUAGGGGCACUUCAGAGAGUCAGGAACGGCUCAACAAGAAGGUUUAAAGUGUCCUAUCAGUAUUUGCUUUGGCAUAUGCAGAAGCGAAAAAUAAAAAUUCUUGGUUGGGGCUCUGUCCUGGUUCAGGGCAAAGCUGGGAGAGAGCCAGUUUGGGUCCAGUUUAAUUUCAGAGCUCUCAUAGUGACAGUAAAUCAUCAUCCACUGAAUGCAAAGAGAUGUUUUUGUCAGCUUUAUACCUCUACUCCCAGACUUUCUGUGCAAAGAGGGUCUUGGCUCUCAAGGACACCUGCAAAAUAUUUCCUAAAGUGAGACAGCUAUCAAGGUGCUAGAAAGGAAGAAACAUUCAGCUGGAAGCAAGUAAUUCUCCAGUAAUGCAAUCUGAAAAGCUGCUGAAUCUGAUCCCUCCACAGCAAGUUGCUGGGUAACACACUGCUCAGUGCAGUCUUCCCUGACUGUAAUGUGGCAAAUAGAAGGACAGUGGUAAGGCAAGAUACACAAACAUCAAGUGUUUCCAAGUUUUGGUGGCUGCAUGUCAUCAAUAGAAGGAUCACAGAUUUCACCAACUCAUGAUGUGAACUUGAAAACCUGCUGAGGUUUGGUUUGGCCAUUCACUGUUUGAAACAGACAUGGGUAAAUACGUUUUCCAAAAGUGGCUUUUAUUUGCCCAAGCAAGAGACAGAUGUUUUGAAUUCUUACCAAUUACAGGCCCAGAGUGUAAAAAAACUCUGGGUCUCUGGUUCUGAUUUUGACAUUUCCAUUCGUAAGAGAAAGACUGAGUUCUCUGAGAAUAUACUAACACAUGGAAACCAAUUAUUUGCUCUCACUUUAGCUCUAUAGACUAUCAAAAAAUAAAAUGACACAACCUACUCUGGCUUCAAGGCAUGUAAAAUAAAACAGUACUGUAUACACAGUUUGAAGAAUAUGUUUCAGGAGAAAGGCAGCACUUUCGUAUUUGACAUUAGUAAAUAAACCUUAUAGUAAGUUUGACCAAGAGAGGUUAUGAUUUUUUCAUUCACAUGGGAUGAUUAUUAUUGUUUUAUGCCACUGUUUCACUAACACUGCACCAUAGAUGAUACUACAAGAUAAUCAGCCAACAAGGAAUAUUUUAACUGCCAUGAAAGAUAAGCACCAUGGCAGUGUAAAUACCAAGGUUUUAAGUGAGCUGCUUGCUUUUACAUUGAAUGUCUGUUUCUGAGUUCCAAGGUCAUCAUCUCACUCUGUGAGCAGAGGACUUUGCAUGCUGGAGGAUGUGGGGGCAAAACUGCAGUUUCUUAGGAUUACUGCUGUAUUUGAGAGGAGGUGUGGGGCAAGUGGGUUGUGGAAAACUGAAAGGAGGUUUUCCUCCAUUCCUGGAAACGUCUCUGCCCCAUCUCUCUCAGAGCAUGGAGAAGCUUAGAGAUCCAGGGUGAGAUCCCACAGACAUUUGUCAAGAACUAGGCAGGCCUGCAUUCAGGAUGCAUCCAUAGCCUACAUCAUCAUCCAUGACCUGCGAUUUGGGACUGGAAGUAGGAUGGAUACCUAGAGAUCCCAGUCACCAAGAAGCAGAGGAAUAUGUGCUUCUAUUAUGACUUCACUCUACCAGGCACAAAACUGGGCUAGAAUAUCUAGACAAAGUACUCUCACCACUGUAGCUCCCUUUGAUGUGCAGAGAAUUAACUGCCCAUGGGUCAGCAACAUUUUUAAGCAGCCUUACCAUGAAGUGCAGCUCUAAUGACAGACCAGGGUCAUCUGCCUCUCCCAGGCUCCCUGUUCACUUGUGCAAGGUCAGGAAAUGAGACAAUGCAGCUGCUGGCAGCUUGAGUGCCUGGGAAGGAAAGAUACGGGGUUUCAAAUUUUAAUGCCCAGCACUGUCAUUUAGAAGGAUCUUGUCAUCCCCCUUGCUUGAAGCCAACCAACUUGCUUUAUUUAGAGAAAAUGUUAUUUUAUUUUUUAAGGAAAAAGUUUUUGCUGACCAAACAACUUUGCUUGCGUUCUGCUAGCUUCACUAACAUUGAUGUGUGGAAAGCAAUCAGCCCUGGAGUUUUAAUAAUAUGUGAACUGCAGCCUCGCUCUGCAAGUGGAUGGGACUGUAAUACUGUCUGCUAAAACUAUUCCUGCCAAAACAAACACCAGGAGAGGAUUCUUUUCCGUAUACCAAAGUCUCACUUUAGCACUUGCCAGGGAACACUUUUCUCUCCUGUUUUCUGCUUGUGAUGGACAAAUAAUGAGGGCACAGUACUACUGGAGGACUGCCUGAAAGCACCCAGAGCCUGGAUCGAAGCCAAGGAGAGGAGUUAGUUCUUCCCUCACAGCAAGAUGGGGAGCAUUCAGGAGCAGCAGUGAGAUAAUGGUCUUCUGGAAAGUACAGCAUUAUCUGAUGGUACGUCUCUUGGAGAGGAAUGGAAGGAGACAAGGGAAAAGAGAAUAUGGGCUUUGUAUGAGUAAUGAUGUUUAAAUGAAAGCUAUAAAUGAAGAGAAUCUUCCUUGUAAGCUUGUACAACUAAGACCCAUGGUGUUUCUAAAUCCUUUUUUUUUGCUUUAUAAUUUUAUGAUAAAAAGCAUUAUCAUUGCUUUUGGACUUAUAUAAUAACUCUUGUAGCUACAAAGAGAACAAAAUGUUGCUUGUUUAUUUCAUUGUGAAACAAAUUAUGCCCCUCUGCAAACUUCACUGUAUAAUUUGCACUGGGUUGAUUGUUUAGGAGUAUGCAGAUGCUGGUUUAAGUACUCCACUCUCCCUGGAUUUCAAAUUGCCAUACAAGUGGCUAUGACUUUAGUGAAACAGUUGUAGCUCAUUGUAUCUCCCAAAAUCAGAAAUAAUUUGUCAUAACAGAGUCCCCCAUCCAAAUUUACAGUCAGUGCUUAUAAUAAACAGAACAUGGUUAUCAGAAUUUAAAGGGAUUGUAUUACAGUAAGAAACUGAGUACCUUUGAAUGUGAUUCAAUAACUUUAUAGAUUUCUCCCCAUUUAUCACUUUUGGUUCAUAGUAGGCAGUUAAUGGUUAAACUGGUACACAGCAGGAGUUCCCUACCAAGAGCACAUUCUUUUGAAAUGUACCCUUGACACUUUCACUUACUUUCUGCGUGUUUGUGUGCUGCUUUUAUAUGUAUUUUCCUAGCUGGAACAUAUAGAUAUUAUUCAGCACAGCCACAGUUGCAACUAGACAUGUCAUAAUUUCUGCUUACAUUUGCAUUGGUCUCAGCCCCGUCCAGUGAAGAAUGCACUGUGUGCCUCCAAAUGAUAGUGUUUAGAAAUCUGACCAAGCGUCUCUACAGGCUCUCAAAGCUAAUGCUAAAAACUUGCAGAGGUAUCAGUUCAUAUCAGGUGAAAACAACAUAGUUUUGCCCUAGUUGAUUAUUAUGUGUGCUAAUGGUGAGUUCUAAGAAGAUCUAGGCAGCUGCUUUCUGUUGAUUAUACCAUACCACCUCAAUUGAACCUAAAUGGGGAAAUCUCAUCUGGACUGAAAUAAUGUCUGUUAAGGAAAACACAAUCAAGAUUUUACACCAAAGAAAAUCGUUCUCAUGGUGGGUAGUUUUCUGCCUCAUUUCAUGGGAGGUUCCAUUGGGAUGAUGGUGUCCUCUUCCAGAUCUUGGUACAGGGUUGGCUCUGGUGCUCUGGGGUUCCCAGCUAACCUGGGGAGAAAGCUUGCAUAGGUGAAAAGACCUUAUCUACCCCUUACACAACUGGACUCCUCACAAAUUAUUCUGGACAAGGCAGUGGAGUUGUUAUGUUUGAUCCUGCACCAGGAUCCAUGGGCUACAGGGACAAAAGGCCUGAGCCUCCAAAGCCUCAAAUGCAUCCUUCAGCUUUGCUUUCUUCCUGCCUUAUUCCUCACUGCUGGUCUACAGAUCCACAUCUCUGGGAUCUCAUCUUCUGUGUCUUCGCAUGGUUUUCUGUGCCUCAGAAAAGCCUAUUCAUGGUGCUAACUAACUGCUGCUAUAGACUUUCUUCCUUGGAGACUUGGCUUGAUUGGAAUGGAUGCUAUGGCUCUCCAGAAGGAGUAUUAAACAGCUGAGAAGUAAUGGCUUGAGUGCUUCUGUAUAUUUGCCUGUGUAUAGGAACAUGAUCAAUGGUCUUUGUAUCUCUUAUUUGAGGAAGUAUUGCAGUGUUAUGGACUCCACCGAUGCUCAGGAGUGCCUCCCCAUUGCCCUCAAACACUAUUGCCACCUCAGGAUCUAGCCCAGCUCUCAAACCUUUUGCAUGUUUCCACCACCAGUGCAUAAAAUACUGCAAACACUGUCAGAAAUGUGAUGGAUGUGUGGGCAAGUCCAGUUUUCAGAGUGUACUGAGUUUUCAGUAUUCGCUACUAACAACUGCAUCACGUGUGGUAAAGGGGGCAGAAAGAAAGAAACAAAACAGUUUCUCAGAUACCAACAGGGUUUCUUGGACACCAAAUAGGGCUUUCUGGUGUUUUGCCUUUGCCCCUGUGUAGUUUAGGUUUGAUGUCAAUGCUGACAUUACUCCAGGAGGGCUUGUUUCCAGUUGUGCCUGUGCUGAUGGAUGAGAUUGAAACAGGUCAGCUCAGCUUUAUCAUGUCCUUCAACAGUGUCUGUAAUGAGGCAGAGAGGAACAUGCUGGGAAUUCAAGGAGCAGAGGUUUUUCUCUUUGCUCUUUGAUGCUUGGUUGGAAAUAUCAGAGGAAGAUAAAAAGCUGUAUAAACAGAAAGCUCUUUUAAGGCAAUUAUACUACACCUUAUUGCUAUUUCUAUCUUCCUAUGCUACAGAUCUGCAGGAGGCACUUACGGCAUUAAAAAUGAAACUCACAGGAGCAAGCGUGGAGGGUAGUGUUUGUAACAUGCUUCAUUUUCUAUGAAAGUAAAUAGCAAGCAAGUAAAACUAUCACUGACAGGAUUAAAGACAUGCUGGUAACAGUGUCUGAGUUGAGCUGCCUGGGAAUAAGGCAUAUAACAUGAAACUUUUUGGGUUUUUUUGGUUAUUUUUGGGUUUUUUUUUAACAAAACUUAUUUCUGAGGAUUCUGCACACUCCUAUACAGUAGCAGACCAGCUCUGAAAACAAAAGUAUGUGGCAUUUGUUCUGCAGGGCUAAAGACAUAUUUUUUUUUUUGUGUGGAUGGGGUUGACAUCACUAUUUGCAUGUUUUUUGUCACUUUUUUGGUAUAAGUAUCCAUCCUCCCUUUGUUAAUUUAUGAGGGGUAACUUUUUUUUGGGGUGUUUUUGGCUUAAAAGAAAAUAGUGUAAGUGUUAUACAUCAAACAAUAUUGGUUUGAUAUAGACUUGAAAUAUUCUUUUAGGGAUCCUGUGAAUCUCCUAUUUUACAGCUUUCUUAUGUACAGGUACUGUUAGAACCAUUGAAAUAAAUUUCAAAGAAAACCA